This 1001-nucleotide long non-coding RNA is filed under the name Monodelphis domestica (gray short-tailed opossum). RNAcentral describes it as "lncRNA (ENSMODG00000048034.1)". Lineage: Eukaryota; Metazoa; Chordata; Mammalia; Didelphimorphia; Didelphidae. The record is from RNAcentral.
CCCGGCUGCGCCCCGCUAACUCGACACCCACACACUACCUUUUUUCAGAUGCGGCCGCGACAGCCACUGGACCUAGGAGAGCGCUCGGACGCCAUGUUGGCUUCCGGCAAAGCUCUCCGCAAAGGUUCUACGCACGCGCAAUGACGCGCCGAACACCGACGUCUCACGAAACGCAUGCGCGCCUGAAACUCCACAAACUACCCGCUCCUUACUUCUCCGGCACCAUAGGGCGUAUUGUGUCAUCAUCAAGAGUUUGGGAUCUAAGACAGUGAUGAAAGAGACCUUAAAAGUCAUGAAAUCCAGACAUUUUCAAGUGAGGAAACAGGUCCAAAGAGGUCACGGCACUUAUUCAAUGUCCCACAAUCUCCAUAGCAGAGCAUCUGAAAGGAACAUCUUCCGCCUGUGUCAGCAUUUCCCAUUGUUCUGGAGGUGGGUACCCCAAUCUUUCUCUAAGCAUCUCUGAGUCUACCACAAUCCCUUAUUUUUAGAAAGCUGUGUCCCAACCAUCUGGAGGGAGAAGUCCCUCCCUUUCAUUACUGCACACCUAGAAGAGAAACUUGUCAUCCAUACUAUUCAGUUAUUGUUAUUUAUUAUCAUCAUUAAUACUAUUGUAAUUUAAUAACAAGACACAUUUGUCUUCAAUUUUUUCUUAAUAGUCGGUUUUUCUGCUUUCUUCAACCAUCCUGUUUACCAAAUGAAAAAUAUAAGUUACUCUUAAAGGGACAGGAUGAGGGGCGGAGAGAGGCUGAGUAGGUGAGACUUACUUAGGUGGAAUCAUGUGUACGAUCAAUCCAAACUCGCCAUGUGAACCACAACCACUGUAUUUAUAGUGCAGUGAAUCUUCUAUAGAGAUGAAAAGUCCCAACACCAGAAAGCAGUGCUGCAUGGUGAAUAAUCCGAAGACAGAAAAACCACCAAAGGGUAUUCUUUGAAGAAAAAUACCUACUUGGCCCAUGAAGGAUCUGACCACAUAUCAUUAUGAGUCAUAGUAAAAUCGUUCC